CAAGGGGUUAUCAGGAAAUACGAAAGAAAGGCCCACAUGUCAGGAUUACAUUGAGAUAUCAACGCACCGCGCAAUUUUGUACCAUCUAGAAGACUCCAGAAGCCACGGGAAGAAAGCAGAGGCCGAAAGGGGCCAGGCCAGGGCGUCCGCCCUCCUUCCCUAGGCGCCCGCCCUGACCUGGACUCUGUUCGGGACUCUCUUCGCACACGAUGUUCCACCGACCUAAAGGAUCAAGGACAACAUAGUACCACAUCGCCUACCAACCCAAAAACGCAUAGAGGAGGAGGACUAUAUAAGGAGACCCCCUGGCCCCUGGAGAAGACAUGAAGUUAUCAUAGAGUUGAGGGGUGCCCUCAAAGGAAAACCUCUUCUCUAAAUAAUAUUUCUUUUUAGGCUUAGCAACCAAUGUAAGUAGAAAUAGAUCUUCUAGUUUCUACUUGAUUGAGAGAGAUAGAGUGGAGGUGUAGAUCGGAGGAAUGCCGGCCUGUCGGUGUCUACUCCGAGUUGUACCUGCAGGAUCAAGUCUUCUAACCCGAGGCUUGCUCCCA
Molecule: long non-coding RNA, 548 nt
Filed under: Sorghum bicolor (sorghum)
Lineage: Eukaryota; Viridiplantae; Streptophyta; Magnoliopsida; Poales; Poaceae
Description: long non-coding RNA (SBIC_LNC017489)
Source: RNAcentral